Molecule: ribosomal RNA, 301 nt
Filed under: uncultured bacterium
Lineage: Bacteria
Description: partial 16S ribosomal RNA
Rfam family: Bacterial small subunit ribosomal RNA
Source: RNAcentral
CAGUCGCCGCGGGAAUACGAAGGGGGCUAGCGUUGUUCGGAAUUACUGGGCGUAAAGCGCACGUAGGCGGACAUUUAAGUCAGGGGUGAAAUCCCGGGGCUCAACCCCGGAACUGCCUUUGAUACUGGGUGUCUAGAGUAUGGAAGAGGUGAGUGGAAUUCCGAGUGUAGAGGUGAAAUUCGUAGAUAUUCGGAGGAACACCAGUGGCGAAGGCGGCUCACUGGUCCAUUACUGACGCUGAGGUGCGAAAGCGUGGGGAGCAAACAGGAUUAGAUACCCGAGUAGUCCCUGUCUCUUAUAA